This 433-nucleotide ribosomal RNA is filed under the name uncultured bacterium. RNAcentral describes it as "partial 16S ribosomal RNA". It matches the Rfam family "Bacterial small subunit ribosomal RNA", at positions 29 to 507 of the family's 1533-position model. The record is from RNAcentral.
AACGAACGCUGGCGGCAUGCCUAACACAUGCAAGUCGAACGAGACCUUCGGGUCUAGUGGCGCACGGGUGCGUAACGCGUGGGAACCUGCCCUUAGGUUCGGAAUAACUCCCCGAAAGGGGUGCUAAUACCGGAUAAUUUCUUCGGACCAAAGAUUUAUCGCCUUUGGAUGGGCCCGCGUUGGAUUAGCUAGUUGGUAGGGUAAAAGCCUACCAAGGCGACGAUCCAUAGAUGGUCUGAGAGGAUGAUCAGCCACACUGGGACUGAGACACGGCCCAGACGCCUACGGGAGGCAGCAGAGGGGAAUAUUGGAAAAUGGGCGAAAGCCUGAACCAGCAAGGCCGCGUGAGUGAUGAAGGCCUUAGGGUUGUAAAGCUCUUUUACCCGGGAUGAUAAUGACAGUACCGGGAGAAUAAGCUCCGGCUAACUACGUG